AGCGAACGCUGGCGGCAGGCCUAACACAUGCAAGUCGAACGAACCUUCCGUGGUUAGUGGCGGACGGGUGAGUAACACGUGGGAACGUGCCUUUAGGCUCGGAAUAACUCAGGGAAAUUUGUGCUAAUACCGAAUGUGCCCUUCUGGGGCCAGAUUUAUCGCCCUUAGAGCGGCCGGCGUUCGUUUAGCUAGUUGGUUGAGGUAAUGGCUCACCAAGGCUACCAUCAGUAGCUGGUAUGAGAGAAAGAUCACCCACAUUGGUACUGAGACACAGCCCAGAAUCCUACGGGAGGCGGCAGUGGGGGAUCUUGCGAAAUGGGCGAAGGCCUGAAGCAGCCAUGCCGGGUGAAUGAUGAAGGUCUUAGGAAAGUAAAGUUGUUUCACCGGGGGCGAUAAUGACGGUACCCGGAGAAGAAGCCCCGGCUAACUUCGUG
This 434-nucleotide ribosomal RNA is filed under the name uncultured bacterium. RNAcentral describes it as "partial 16S ribosomal RNA". It matches the Rfam family "Bacterial small subunit ribosomal RNA", at positions 29 to 507 of the family's 1533-position model. The record is from RNAcentral.